RNAcentral lists this long non-coding RNA (1596 nucleotides) under Canis lupus familiaris (dog). RNAcentral's name for it is "lncRNA (ENSCAFG00030010633.1)". Lineage: Eukaryota; Metazoa; Chordata; Mammalia; Carnivora; Canidae. The record is from RNAcentral.
GAUGACCGGGCUGCCGGGAGGGGGGGCACCGUCCCAGGGCCCGGGGUCACAUCCCCACACACAGAGGAUCUGCCCAGUGUCUCCACCCAAGGGUCACAGGUCUCUCGGCUGAGGCCUGGCCGUCUGGGAGGGGGACAGGCUGAACCUCCUGCAAGAUCAAGGAGGUGCUCGGGCCCUGGGCCUCCUGAGCCUCGGCCCCGGCGGGGAGGGGGUUCGGAAGGGGGCAGGCCGGGCCCGCGCGGAGGGCCGGGCAGGUCCAGGGCCUGGGGGCUCCCGCCGACCCCCUCGGGGCUCCCUGGGGCUCCCUGGGGCUCCAGCCGGCCCUGCCAGGCGGGGCCAGGAGGGCAGGGGUCCGUGGGGCUCCCGGGCAGCACCUCCGGCCCCCCCCCCCCCGUCGGGCUGACAGCGGCUCCCGGGAGAAUUCAAACCGGGAAGGCGGGGGUCAGGGCGGGGGGACGCGAGCGCGGCGCCCCGGGCCCGGCGGGCGGGAGGCGCGACCUGCCCCGGCCCCCGGCCGCCCCCUCCCCCAGACCCCGCCCGCACUCACCUCUCGGGGCGCUGCGGUCCGGCCACCCCGCGGCGGGCAGCAUCAGCGGGCUGCGGGGCGGCGCACGCGGCCGGGGCGCGGAGGGCGCGGGGUCCCCGGGGGCGCGGUACAAAGCGGCGGCGGCGGCGGCGGCGGCCGGGGGGGCGGGGGCGGGGGCGGGGGCGGGGGCGGCGGGAGGAAACAAUGUAGCCGCGCGGCCCCGCAGAGUUCCGCUUCCGAGCGCGGCCGGGCCGGGCCGGGGCCGGGGCCGGGCCGGGGCGGGGACGUGGCGGCCGGGCCGGGGCGGGGAGCCGGGGCCGGGGCGGGGAGCCGGGGCCGGGGCCGGGGCCGGGGUCGGGGCGGCGGGCUCCCGCGCUGCAGGGCCGGGCGGGGUCUGGCGGCCGCGGGCUGGCCGGGACGCGGCCCCGACGGCGGGGGCGCCCCGCUCGGACCCCUCCCCGCGGGCCCCCGGGCGGGCGGGCGCGGGCGGGGGGCGGCGGCGGACACGCUGGGCUCGCCCGGGGCUCCGCCGGGAGGAAGCUCGCAGGCCUGGCGAGAGGAAGCGCGGCCCGGAUCCUCCGCCCGCCGCAGCGCGCCUGCGCGAGGGGCCUGCCCGGGGCGGCGGGGCGGGGGCGGGGCGGCGCCCCCUGCCGGGCGCCGGGGGCACUGCAGGGGGUGUGUCCGCGCCCUGCGCUGCGCUGCGCUGCCCUGCCCUGCCCUGCCCUGCCCCCGCCGCGCCCCGCGCCCCGCGCCCUCCCGGGGCAACCCCGCCGGCUCCCGGCUCGGGCCCCGCGCCGGAGCCACUGAGGCCGGGCCUCGGCCGCCCUCCCCCGACCCGGCCGCAGACACGGGGCCUCGCUGGCAGCCGCGAGCAGGCAUCCGUUCGCUCACUCAUUCAUUCGCCGGCUCCUGGCCCUGCCGUGCAGCCUCCGGGAGCGGCCGGCCCUCCUCCCCGUCGCGGGCCUCGGCGGGAUAACGGACGGGCCGGCAGCCCGGGGCAGAGACACCGAGAGCCGGGGGACGAGGUCCGGGAAGGCAGAAAAGAGGGGCCGGCGGAUGGGAGGACUUAA